Molecule: ribosomal RNA, 451 nt
Filed under: Escherichia coli
Lineage: Bacteria; Pseudomonadati; Pseudomonadota; Gammaproteobacteria; Enterobacterales; Enterobacteriaceae
Description: bacterial SSU rRNA
Rfam family: Bacterial small subunit ribosomal RNA
Source: RNAcentral
UUGAGUCUCGUAGAGGGGGGUAGAAUUCCAGGUGUAGCGGUGAAAUGCGUAGAGAUCUGGAGGAAUACCGGUGGCGAAGGCGGCCCCCUGGACGAAGACUGACGCUCAGGUGCGAAAGCGUGGGGAGCAAACAGGAUUAGAUACCCUGGUAGUCCACGCCGUAAACGAUGUCGACUUGGAGGUUGUGCCCUUGAGGCGUGGCUUCCGGAGCUAACGCGUUAAGUCGACCGCCUGGGGAGUACGGCCGCAAGGUUAAAACUCAAAUGAAUUGACGGGGGCCCGCACAAGCGGUGGAGCAUGUGGUUUAAUUCGAUGCAACGCGAAGAACCUUACCUGGUCUUGACAUCCACGGAAGUUUUCAGAGAUGAGAAUGUGCCUUCGGGAACCGUGAGACAGGUGCUGCAUGGCUGUCGUCAGCUCGUGUUGUGAAAUGUUGGGUUAAGUCCCGCAA